This 175-nucleotide ribosomal RNA is filed under the name uncultured bacterium. RNAcentral describes it as "partial 16S ribosomal RNA". It matches the Rfam family "Bacterial small subunit ribosomal RNA", at positions 183 to 353 of the family's 1533-position model. The record is from RNAcentral.
GUAUCGCAUGAUAUAGCAAUUAAAGGAAGGCAAUGCGCUAUAAGAUGGACCCGCGUCGCAUUAGCUAGUUGGUGAGGUAAUGGCUCACCAAGGCGACGAUGCGUAGCCGUCCUGAGAGGGUGAUCGGCCACAUUGGGACUGAGACACGGCCCAGACUCCUACGGGAGGCAGCAUG